RNAcentral lists this ribosomal RNA (986 nucleotides) under human gut metagenome. Its description in RNAcentral is "bacterial LSU rRNA". It matches the Rfam family "Bacterial large subunit ribosomal RNA", at positions 1945 to 2925 of the family's 2925-position model. The record is from RNAcentral.
ACGGUCCUAAGGUAGCGAAAUUCCUUGUCGGGUAAGUUCCGACCUGCACGAAUGGCGUAAUGAUGGCCAGGCUGUCUCCACCCGAGACUCAGUGAAAUUGAACUCGCUGUGAAGAUGCAGUGUACCCGCGGCAAGACGGAAAGACCCCGUGAACCUUUACUAUAGCUUGACACUGAACAUUGAGCCUUGAUGUGUAGGAUAGGUGGGAGGCUUUGAAGUGUGGACGCCAGUCUGCAUGGAGCCGACCUUGAAAUACCACCCUUUAAUGUUUGAUGUUCUAACGUUGGCCCGUAAUCCGGGUUGCGGACAGUGUCUGGUGGGUAGUUUGACUGGGGCGGUCUCCUCCUAAAGAGUAACGGAGGAGCACGAAGGUUGGCUAAUCCUGGUCGGACAUCAGGAGGUUAGUGCAAUGGCAUAAGCCAGCUUGACUGCGAGCGUGACGGCGCGAGCAGGUGCGAAAGCAGGUCAUAGUGAUCCGGUGGUUCUGAAUGGAAGGGCCAUCGCUCAACGGAUAAAAGGUACUCCGGGGAUAACAGGCUGAUACCGCCCAAGAGUUCAUAUCGACGGCGGUGUUUGGCACCUCGAUGUCGGCUCAUCACAUCCUGGGGCUGAAGUAGGUCCCAAGGGUAUGGCUGUUCGCCAUUUAAAGUGGUACGCGAGCUGGGUUUAGAACGUCGUGAGACAGUUCGGUCCCUAUCUGCCGUGGGCGCUGGAGAACUGAGGGGGGCUGCUCCUAGUACGAGAGGACCGGAGUGGACGCAUCACUGGUGUUCGGGUUGUCAUGCCAAUGGCACUGCCCGGUAGCUAAAUGCGGAAGAGAUAAGUGCUGAAAGCAUCUAAGCACGAAACUUGCCCCGAGAUGAGUUCUCCCUGACUCCUUGAGGGUCCUGAAGGAACGUUGAAGACGACGACGUUGAUAGGCCGGGUGUGUAAGCGCAGCGAUGCGUUGAGCUAACCGGUACUAAUGAACCGUGAGGCUUAACCUU